GACGAACGCUGGCGGCGUGCCUAAUACAUGCAAGUCGAACGCACGAAGUUGAAGAGCUUGCUCUUUAACCAAGUGAGUGGCGGACGGGUGAGUAACACGUGGGUAACCUGCCCAUUAGAGGGGGAUAACAUUCGGAAACGGAUGCUAAUACCGCAUAGUUUCAGGGAUCGCAUGAUUCUUGAAGGAAAGGUGGCUUCGGCUACCACUAAUGGAUGGACCCGCGGCGUAUUAGCUAGUUGGUGAGGUAAUGGCUCACCAAGGCAAUGAUACGUAGCCGACCUGAGAGGGUGAUCGGCCACACUGGGACUGAGACACGGCCCAGACUCCUACGGGAGGCAGCAGUAGGGAAUCUUCCGCAAUGGACGAAAGUCUGACGGAGCAACGCCGCGUGAGUGAAGAAGGUUUUCGGAUCGUAAAACUCUGUUGUUAAAGAAGAACAAGGAUGAGAGUAACUGCUCAUCCCCUGACGGUAUUUAACCAGAAAGCCACGGCUAACUACGUGCCAGCAGCCGCGGUAAUACGUAGGUGGCAAGCGUUGUCCGGAUUUAUUGGGCGUAAAGCGAGCGCAGGCGGUUCUUUAAGUCUGAUGUGAAAGCCCCCGGCUCAACCGGGGAGGGUCAUUGGAAACUGGAGAACUUGAGUGCAGAAGAGGAGAGUGGAAUUCCACGUGUAGCGGUGAAAUGCGUAGAUAUGUGGAGGAACACCAGUGGCGAAGGCGACUCUCUGGUCUGUAACUGACGCUGAGGCUCGAAAGCGUGGGGGAGCAAACAGG
RNAcentral lists this ribosomal RNA (772 nucleotides) under uncultured Vagococcus sp. Its description in RNAcentral is "bacterial SSU rRNA". It matches the Rfam family "Bacterial small subunit ribosomal RNA", at positions 28 to 776 of the family's 1533-position model. Lineage: Bacteria; Bacillati; Bacillota; Bacilli; Lactobacillales; Enterococcaceae. The record is from RNAcentral.